UUUGUCUAUUAAUUGUAGACCUGUAUGAAAGGCAAAAUGAGAGCCCGACUGUCUCUUAUAACAAAUCAAUUAAACUGAUCUCCCAGUACAAAAGCUGGAAUACCCCCAUAAGACCAGAAGACCCUGUGAAGCUUUAACUAACCUAUUAAACCCCUUAAUAAUUAGUUUCGGUUGGGGCGACCUCGGAACAAAAAAGAACUUCCAAACAACAUGACUCACCAUGUACCAAGGCAAACAAGCCACAAUUAGACCCAGAAUAUCUGAUUAAUGAACCAAGUUACUCCAGGGAUAACAGCGCUAUCUUCUUCAAGAGCCCAUAUCAAAAAGAAGGUUUACGACCUCGAUGUUGGAUCAGGACAUCCUAGUAAUGCAACAGCUACUAAGGGUUCGUUUGUUCAACGAUUAACAGU
This 410-nucleotide ribosomal RNA is filed under the name Bitis rubida. RNAcentral's name for it is "partial 16S ribosomal RNA". It matches the Rfam family "Bacterial large subunit ribosomal RNA", at positions 1968 to 2594 of the family's 2925-position model. The record is from RNAcentral. Lineage: Eukaryota; Metazoa; Chordata; Lepidosauria; Squamata; Viperidae.